UACGGAGGGUGCUAGCGUUGUUCGGAAUUACUGGGCGUAAAGCGCGCGUAGGCGGACCUGCAAGUCGGGGGUGAAAGCCCGAGGCUUAACCGCGGAACUGCCUUCGAUACUGCGGGUCUCGAGUCCGGGAGAGGUGAGUGGAAUUCCUAGUGUAGAGGUGAAAUUCGUAGAUAUUAGGAAGAACACCAGUGGCGAAGGCGGCUCACUGGCCCGGUACUGACGCUGAGGCGCGAAAGCGUUGGGAGCAAACAGG
RNAcentral lists this ribosomal RNA (253 nucleotides) under uncultured bacterium. RNAcentral describes it as "partial 16S ribosomal RNA". It matches the Rfam family "Bacterial small subunit ribosomal RNA", at positions 524 to 776 of the family's 1533-position model. The record is from RNAcentral.